RNAcentral lists this long non-coding RNA (315 nucleotides) under Numida meleagris (helmeted guineafowl). RNAcentral describes it as "lncRNA (ENSNMEG00000021654.1)". The record is from RNAcentral. Lineage: Eukaryota; Metazoa; Chordata; Aves; Galliformes; Numididae.
AAAAAUUAUUUCUUAGCCUUGAUUGGAUUCUAGCCAGGCAUCCAGUGUUGUAGCUCUCACAUUCUCACUACAUGUAGUAAUAUUUUCCCUGUUUUCAUUGCUACCAUUUCAGUUUGUCUGCACAUCAAAAAUCACAUGUGGAUAGAAAUGGUCUCUUCCCCUGAAGUACUGUACAUGAAUCCUGUGCAAGCUAUACCAAAACCAGCCAUGGUGUUGUCUGAGCCCGAUCCUGCAAAUCAUUUCUCCAGGCAGCCCUCGCAUGCAAGGGAUCCCAGGCAUAGCAAAAAGACUGCGGGUUUGACUGGCUGCAACUAA